Non-coding RNA from Xylariaceae sp. FL1272, 72 nucleotides. Lineage: Eukaryota; Fungi; Ascomycota; Sordariomycetes; Xylariales; Xylariaceae. The record is from the annotation of a GenBank genome assembly.
GGUGUUGUCGUAUAGUGGUUAGUACACUUCGUUGUGGCCGAAGAAACAUGAGUUCGAUUCUCAUCAACGCCA